AGACACCUUCCGAGCCGGCACAUUUCGUACAGACACGUACCGAGACGCACAGAUCCCUUAGCCCACACUGCAGACGUCAUCAGCCCCCACAGCCCCACUGCCAGCCCGCGGGCCCCCCAGGCACAGCACAGCACACGUCCCACGCCACCGCCAAGCGAGGGCCCCUGGAGCGUGGGGACGAUGCCAGAACUGGUCGAGAAUGGAGGGGCAAUACCAUCCCACUGACAUCACCGGCCAGCUCAACCUCUCCGACCCCUCCGUCAGCACUGUGGUGUGACCUUCUCCCCAAGGGCCAUCAGUCCUUACCCGGCACAGUAGGAAGGCACAGCCAGGACUGCCUCUCAAGGGACACUGAUGGGUUCUUCAGGGCCUGCUGCCAUACUCACGCCCCAAAAUGCACGGCAGAACCAGGACAGGGUUUGGACUUCACUGUACAGAGAUAACCGCUCCCAACCAGUGCUGUUGUUGAUCAGUAUUGCCACUGACUGGCUGCGUGCGAGGGGAAAGGACUUGGAAGGCACGUGGUGCCUGCUGUCCUGCAGUGGUAGGGAAGAGCCGUUGUCGGGCUGCAGCCACGUUUGGCUUUGCAGGCUCUGGGUUCUCUCAGAUCCCAGCGAUGUUCUCGUGGAGCGGCCAAGGACUGCUGCCAUGCAGAGAUCUGCCACCAGCACAGCAGGGCUGGGAGAUGUGCACGCUUCUCGUGGCCAGGGGAUGAGCGCCCGUUCCCCUCCAUCAGCCCCUCUCAGUGCCCGUGGUAUGACCAAACGUGGUGCUCUGGAACUCCUAGCCAGGAUUCUGGCUUCCCAUAUCUGCACACAAGGCAUCCCCAAGGCCUGGCCGUGGCCAGCACGUAACUUUCACACUGUAGCUGACCUGACCAGGAGACAAACAAGGGAAAUCGAGUGCCAGCUCAGCAAAGGGCGAUUAAACAAGACUGCUCAGAGCUAUUCCUCCCUAUGCACCGAGCUUCUACAGGCAGGUGUUUCAAGCAGCCGUGGGCACUCCAACGCCCAGGAAACACCAUCCAGGUUGGGAUGA
Molecule: long non-coding RNA, 1038 nt
Filed under: Meleagris gallopavo (turkey)
Lineage: Eukaryota; Metazoa; Chordata; Aves; Galliformes; Phasianidae
Description: lncRNA (ENSMGAG00000020323.1)
Source: RNAcentral